GAUGAACGCUGGCGGCAUGCCUAAGACAUGCAAGUCGAACGAGGUGGCCCAUUGAAGUCUGAGUGCUUGCACAAAGAUGGAUUUGGAUUUUCCACCUAGUGGCAAACGGGUGAGUAACACGUGGGUUACCUGCCUCUAAGUUGGGGAUAACAACUGGAAACGGUUGAUAAUACCGAAUGUGCUCUACGGAGUAAAGAAGCCCUUAAAGCUUCGCUUAGAGAUGGGCCUGCGGCGUAUUAGUUAGUUGGUGGGGUAAUGGCCUACCAAGACAGCGAUGCGUAGCCGAACUGAGAGGUUGAUCGGCCACAUUGGGACUGAGACACGGCCCAAACUCCUACGGGAGGCAGCAGUAGGGAAUCUUCCACAAUGGGCGAAAGCCUGAUGGAGCAACGCCGCGUGGGUGAAGAAGGUCUUCGGAUCGUAAAACCCUGUUGUUAGAGAAGAAAGUGCGUGAGAGUAACUGUUCACGUUUCGACGGUAUCUAACCAGAAAGCCACGGCUAACUACGUGCCAGCAGCCGCGGUAAUACGUAGGUGGCAAGCGUUAUCCGGAUUUAUUGGGCGUAAAGGGAACGCAGGCGGUCUUUUAAGUCUGAUGUGAAAGCCUUCGGCUUAACCGGAGUAGUGCAUUGGAAACUGGGAGACUUGAGUGCAGAAGAGGAGAGUGGAACUCCAUGUGUAGCGGUGAAAUGCGUAGAUAUAUGGAAGAACACCAGUGGCGAAAGCGGCUCUCUGGUCUGUAACUGACGCUGAGGUUCGAAAGCGUGGGUAGCAAACAGGAUUAGAUACCCUGGUAGUCCACGCCGUAAACGAUGAAUGCUAAGUGUUGGAGGGUUUCCGCCCUUCAGUGCUGCAGCUAACGCAAUAAGCAUUCCGCCUGGGGAGUACGACCGCAAGGUUGAAACUCAAAGGAAUUGACGGGGGCCCGCACAAGCGGUGGAGCAUGUGGUUUAAUUCGAAGCAACGCGAAGAACCUUACCAGGUCUUGACAUCUUUUGACAAUCCUAGAGGUAGGACUUUCCCUUCGGGGACAAAAUGACAGGUGGUGCAUGGUUGUCGUCAGCUCGUGUCGUGAGAUGUUGGGUUAAGUCCCGCAACGAGCGCAACCCUUAUUGUUAGUUGCCAGCAUUAAGUUGGGCACUCUAGCAAGACUGCCGGUGACAAACCGGAGGAAGGUGGGGAUGACGUCAAAUCAUCAUGCCCCUUAUGACCUGGGCUACACACGUGCUACAAUGGACGGUACAACGAGUCGCAAGACCGCGAGGUUUAGCAAAUCUCUUAAAGCCGUUCUCAGUUCGGAUUGUAGGCCGCAACUCGCCUACAUGAAGUCGGAAUCGCUAGUAAUCGCGGAUCAGCAUGCCGCGGUGAAUACGUUCCCGGGCCUUGUACACACCGCCCGUCACACCAUGAGAGUUUGUAACACCCAAAGCCGGUGGGGUAACCUUUUGGAGCCAGCCGUCUAAGGUGGGAUAGAUGAUUAGGGUG
This 1484-nucleotide ribosomal RNA is filed under the name uncultured bacterium. Its description in RNAcentral is "bacterial SSU rRNA". It matches the Rfam family "Bacterial small subunit ribosomal RNA". The record is from RNAcentral.